RNAcentral lists this ribosomal RNA (343 nucleotides) under uncultured bacterium. RNAcentral describes it as "bacterial SSU rRNA". It matches the Rfam family "Bacterial small subunit ribosomal RNA", at positions 542 to 881 of the family's 1533-position model. The record is from RNAcentral.
UAUCCGGAAUUAUUGGGCGUAAAGGGCUCGUAGGCGGUUCGUCGCGUCCGGUGUGAAAGUCCAUCGCUUAACGGUGGAUCCGCGCCGGGUACGGGCGGGCUUGAGUGCGGUAGGGGAGACUGGAAUUCCCGGUGUAACGGUGGAAUGUGUAGAUAUCGGGAAGACCACCAAUGGCGAAGGCAGGUCUCUGGGCCGUCACUGACGCUGAGGAGCGAAAGCGUGGGGAGCGAACAGGAUUAGAUACCCUGGUAGUCCACGCCGUAAACGGUGGAUGCUGGAUGUGGGGACCAUUCCACGGUCUCCGUGUCCGGGCCCAACGCGUUAAGCCUCCCGCCUGGGGAGU